Molecule: non-coding RNA, 761 nt
Filed under: Chrysomela populi
Lineage: Eukaryota; Metazoa; Arthropoda; Insecta; Coleoptera; Chrysomelidae
Source: RNAcentral
UUAAAGUUUUAUUUUUACUUAAAAAUUUAAUGUAAUUUUAAUUUAAAUGUAAAUCUUAGUGAGUUUUAUUUUUAGAUAAAAUAAUAUUUGUUAGCAAUAAAUAGUAUUAAAUAUUAAAGAAAUUUAGAUUUAGUAAUAAUGUAAGUAUUAACUUAAUUUGUGCCAGCAGUUGCGGUUAUACAAAUAAUACAAUUAAAUUAUUUUAGUUUUAGUUAAUUGAUAAUUUUAAAUUUAAAUUAUAAAUUUAAUAAGUGAAAUUUUAAAUUUUAUUAAGAUUUAUGUUUGUUAAUGACUUAAGAAAUUUUAUUUAUAAACUAGGAUUAGAUACCCUAUUAUUAGAAAUGUAGUUUAAUAAGCUAAAUUAGUAUAAGAUAUAUUCUCGAAAAUUAAAGAUUUUGGCGGUAUUUUAGUCUAUUCAGAGGAACCUGUUCUAUAAUUGAUAGUCCACGAUUUAAUUUACUUAUUAUUUUAGUUUACAUAUCGUCGUAGUUUAAAUAUUUUAUUAGAAUUUUAAUAUUUAAGAUUUAUUAUAUUAAAAAAAAUCAGAUCAAGGUGUAGCUUAUUAAUAAGAAGAAAUGGGUUACUAUAAAAAAUUUAAUAUAAUUAUUUUUAAAGUAGUUUGUGUAUAGGAUUUGAAAGUAAUUUUAAUUAAUUAAUUAAAAUGAUUUUAGCUCUAAAAUAUGUACAUAUCGCCCGUCGCUUUCAUUAUAAUAUGAAAUAAGUCGUAACAAAGUAGAUUUACUGGAAAGUGAAUCUAGACA